UUUUUUUUUUUUUUAAAUUGGUAGCUAAAUGCAUAAAUACAUUUUUAUAUUUUAUAAAAAAAAUUCAUUAAAUAUUUUAAUUUAUAAAACUAUGCCGAUUAAAUAUUUCAACUAAUAAAAUUUUUCAAUUGAAUAUUUCAACUUGUAAAAUUUAAUAUAUUAAAUAUUUAUUAAAUAGUUAAAAUAUGUGAAAGUUAUUAUCCCAAAAUUAUAAUAAAAAUACAUAAAAUUAAUUUUUUUUUUUACUUAUAGACUUUAAAAUGCAAAAAACUAUUAUUGUUGGUGUAGAAAAAUAUGAAAAUAUAUUAAAAUUCAUAACUUUAAAUACAUAAUAGAUCCUUACAAAAUUAGAGAUAUCGCAGGAUUUUUUAUUAUUGAAGUACAAGAAUAUAUUUAACCGUUAACAAUUAUUCUUACAUGAAUAACCACAUUAAAUGGAUUUAGUUCACUUUGCGGUAUAUGAACUAACUUACUUUUUCGGGGAAAAAAACUAACUUAUAAGUAUUUAUUAUAUGAGUAAGACAAGUAUAAUAAUAUAGAAAUUAAUUUCAUAGGGUGAAUGUAAUAAUUCAUUACGUAAUAUAUAGAUAAUAGCUUACUAAUCCAAGUCUUUGAUAGCUAUUGAUGAAUUCAUAAUUAUACAGGACAUAAUAAUUUUUGAUUUUUACUAAAAGUUAAUAAGUCAAAAAAAAUUUAUUUUCCAUAAUAAUUCACUAAUUUCAACUAAAAUUAUAAAUAAGAGUAAAUUGAUAAAUUAUGAAAUAAAACUUCAUUAAUAUAAUUUUUUUUAAGUUUCGUGUGAAAAUUGAACUGAAUAAUUAUUUUUAGAUUUAUAGGAUAUAUAUUAAACUUUUGAAAACGUAGUCUCAGGUGAUAUAUUUCGUGGUUGAAGUUGAAAAUUUUGACAAAUUCUUUUCUUGUUCUUUUUCAAACGAUUUUUUCUUCUUUUUCUUUUUUUUUUUCAACUGAGGAUGACAUGGUAUUGUGAAAAAAAAAAAGCAGACUGCUAAACAAAACUAACGACGGGGAUGAGAAUGACAACAAGAGAACUAGAUGCAGUGAAUAGCUCGCGAUGGAGACAAACAUCGAUUGAGAAAUAUAUUUUGUCCCCACGAAGUCGAAAAUUUUGACAAAUUGCCAACUCCCAUUUCUUUAGCAUUGUCAACUUUCUGGCUACUUUCCUUUAGUUGUUUCGAGAUUUAGAAAUUAAUUCCAUUAUUAGUAAUUUCGUUUCCGAGUUUUUGAAUCACAAAAUUUUAAUAAAAUAAUUUUAUAAGUUAAAGUAUUUAAUAAUGAAAAUUUUAUAAAUUGAAAUAUUUAAUAAAUCAAAUUAAAAAUUAAAAUUGUCACAAUAAUUUUAUAAAAAUUACAGAGUAACUUUAUGUAUUUAGUCGGAUAUAUUUAUUUAAAAAAAAUAUUCUGCAUGUUAUUUUUAGUUGGUUAAGAAAACAGUUUUUGUAAUAUUUGGACAAAAUGCAAAAUCAGAAACAAAGAUCUUUCACCAACAGUUUUCAUGAAAUCAAAUUGAUAGAUCAACACCAAAAAUUGUGUUGGUGAAUGAGAGCUAUAAUUAAUAAUUUAUCACAGAGCGUGUGAAUCCAAGCAAGAAUUUGGACAUAGAAAUCGGCCAUGGCGAACACAAUAAUGUCCAAGAAAGUACCAAAAAGCAAACAAAUUAACGAAAGGACGAGAGUUGAAAAGGUUGAAUUUCAUCCACCGGGAUUUCUUUUAUUUAUAUGUUUUUCUGUUUUUAUUUCACAAUAACGUACAGAGCAGAGACAGUGACUACCCACGUGCCAUGUUUGCUCUGUACAUGAUAUAUAUCUUGUGAUGGAUAUGAAUGUACCUUUGGGAAAAGUUUCUGCGUCUUUACAUGUUUGUCAACCUGCUAAAAUUGUCGGUCACAUUCAGAAUUGUGGAACUAAUACAUACCAAAAACAAAGCAUCCCCUUAAUAUUUUUAUCUUCUUUUUACAUUUAACGUGUUUUUAAUUUUAGUUGUCAAAUAAUUAAUUAUAGACAAAAUAAGCCUAAUUUAUAAUAGUCUUUUUUUUCUGAAAUCUAAUUUACAGUAAUCUAAUACAUAUAAAAAAAUUAAUAAAUUAUAAAUUAUUCUAAUAGGCCUGCCUAAUCAAAAAAGCAAAACUACCUUUGGAUUGGAAGAUUGUCUUCUAUCGAUGCAGAAAUGCAAUUAUUUUUAUUAUUAGUAUUAUUUUUUAAUGCAAAGUGAUGGAAGAAUGCUCACAUACUUUGACUCCACAGGACCACAUUAGUACCGCCUCGACAGGUAAUCACUCGAUUUAAUUUUUUCCAUGAUUUGGUGUAACUACCGCGGAUCUUUCCUUUUUUUUUUUUCUUGGUUUGAUUAUAUUUUGCUGAUUAAAUAUAUUUGACAUAAUAAAAAGAAUUAGUGUUUUUUCAUAGGAAAAACAGAUAAAAUGUUUUAAAAAAAAUAUAUAUUUUUUAAAAAAAUUAAAUAUGAGCUUCGUGUUUAAUCUAUCUUUUAUACAAAAAAAAAAUCAGAAACUAAUUCACAAAAAUGGAAAAACAUCAAAUUAAUAGUAAAAUAUAUUCUAUAUAAUAUAAGAUAUCUUAAUCUAUAAGUAAUUCUCUUUCUCAAAAAAAAAAAAAAANNNNNNNNNNNNAUAUAUAUAUAUAUAUAUAUAUAUAUUUUGUACAUGCUUAAAUUAAUUAAAGCUUGAGGGUGAGUGCAUAUGUAACCGUCCACAAGGACUCCAGUCCAAAUUGUCAUUCUCCUAGUGCAAAGUGGAGGAAAUAAAAUUGCACGUGAUAUUGUACAACAUAUACUCUGAUGUGUUACUAUUUUCCUUUUCCGACAUCUGAAUAUCAUCACGUGGUAAUCAUUUAAAACAAUUCUUACAAAAAAUUUAAUUAUGUUCUAUUAAGAAAUUCUACAAUCAAAUUAUUUUGUGAUAGAAUUUAGGUUGUAAUAGAAAAGAAGAAUAGGAUAUUAAUUAGGCGAUUGUUAUAAAUUUGGAAGUAAUAAAAUUUAUUUCUAUUGUUUGUAAUAAUUAAAAAAAAAAUCAGAUAACUUAUUUAACUUACUAUUUUUAAUAGUACCAUUGAAAUUUCUUUUUCUUUGUUUUAAAAAAAAUAUUGAAUUUUCUGUUUAAUCCAAUAGGUAAUAUUUUUUUUUAUAUAUAAAAGAAUUUAACUAUUCCAUAAUAUGUUAUGGAGUAUUAGUGAUUAAAUUAAAUUCUGUGGAAUUAAAUCUUUACAUUUCUUCAAAUUGCUAAUGGACUUAUUAACGAGUCAAUAAUUUAUUAUCAGCAAUAUCGGAAUAAGGAUUCAAUCCUGUUGAUGCCUUCUGUACGUGAUAGUUGCAUUGUGACUGGGUUCUUUUGAUCGUCAAAUUGCCACGCAUUAUAUAAUAAAGGAAAGAUAUAAAACCAUAAAAGAGUAACACUCAUUAUAUAUAUAACAGUAUUCAACAUAAGAACAACCAACUAGGGGCCGGUGCUCAGAUGGUACGUACAAGCCAAAAUACAAACACUAAAAGAACAGAAGACUAAACCUCCGUUUCUUAUUCCCAACAUUUUAUCUAUUAAUGCUGGUCAGUAACCAGACACUUGAUUAAUUAGUUCUCAGUUGGAGGCUUGUGCGGUGGCUUUUGGGGCGGCUUAUGGGGUGGCAGGUGUUUUAAUGGUGGUUUCUCUCCCUUUCCUUUAUAUGAAUCCUCAACUAACUCUUCCUCAGCCAAAAGAUGUCCAUGUGGUGGCUUGUGGGGUGGCUUGUGUUUUGGUACUGGUUUCUGUCCCUUUCCUUUAUAUGAAUCCUCGGCUAGCUCUUCCUCAGCCAAAAGAUGUCCAUGUGGCGGCUUAUGCUUUGGUGGUGGCUUAUUACCCUUAUGUGAGUCCUCUACAACCUCUGUAGCUAAAAGACGUCUGAGGGGUGGUUUGUGCUCUGGUGGUGGCUUGUGCGGUGGUUUGUGCUCGGAUGAUGGCUUUUGAGGUGGAAAAUUCUUAGGAGGUGGUUUCUCUCCCUUACCCUUAAAUGGCGGUUUUUGGAAGUCCUCUACGCUAUCCUCGCUUAAUAGGUGCCCAUGUGGUGGCUUGUGUGGUGGUUUGUGCUCUGGUGUUGGCUUUUGAGGUGGAAAAUUCUUAGGUGGUGGCUUUUGAGGUGGAAAAUUCUUAGGAGGUGGGUUCUCUCCCUUACCCUUAAAUGGUGGUUUUUGGAAGUCCUCUUCGCUAUCCUCACUUAAUAGGUGACCAUGUGGUGGCUUGUGUGGGGGGUUGUGCUCUGGGGGUGGCUUUUGAGGUGGGAAAUUCUUAGGUGGUGGCUUUUGAGGUGGAAAAUUCUUAGGAGGUGGGUUCUCUCCCUUACCCUUAAAUGGUGGUUUUUGGAAGUCCUCUUCGCUAUCCUCACUUAAUAGGUGACCAUGUGGUGGCUUGUGUGGUGGGUUGUGGUCUGGUGUUGGCUUUUGAGGUGGAAAAUUCUUAGGAGGUGGUUUCUCUCCCUUACCCUUGUAAGGUGGAUCAUGGACAUCCUCUACAUUAUCCUCACUUAACAGAUGACCAUGUGGUGGCUUGUGCUGUGAGUGGUGGUGAUCAUAAUGAUCAGCUAAUGAAGAAGAAAUGGAGAGAAUCACGACUGCUCCAAUAAGGAGCAACACUCGCAAGUUUUUAGAAGAGAACAUGUUUGA
This 4662-nucleotide long non-coding RNA is filed under the name Jatropha curcas. Its description in RNAcentral is "long non-coding RNA (JCUR_LNC001011)". Lineage: Eukaryota; Viridiplantae; Streptophyta; Magnoliopsida; Malpighiales; Euphorbiaceae. The record is from RNAcentral.